UGCAUCUGCAGCUCAUGAGGAUGAGAACCUCCGGGGGCAGGGAGGUUCGACUCGAGCGAAGCGAGAGAACGUUGCGCCAGCAAC
Molecule: small RNA, 84 nt
Filed under: Escherichia coli
Lineage: Bacteria; Pseudomonadati; Pseudomonadota; Gammaproteobacteria; Enterobacterales; Enterobacteriaceae
Description: partial RtT sRNA
Rfam family: RtT RNA
About the family: This family represents a bacterial cis-regulatory element known as RtT RNA. The exact function of RtT is unknown although it is thought that it may be involved in changing the cellular response in relation to amino acid starvation.
Source: RNAcentral